ACACUAGUUGCUUGGUCUUACGAAAAAGACGGUUUUAUGCGAAAUAUAGUGAGAGAAUAACUUAAUUCGUCAGUAAUUAGUGCUAUAGCGAUAAUGUACUGAAAUUAUUAAUAUAAAUUAAUUUUAAAUCAUUCAAUACAGAAACAUAUGCAAUUGGUGUAUUUGCUUUGUUAUUGUCCUUAAGUGGAAUAUAACAUAUGAUUAGAUUCUUAUAGAUAUGUAUAAGUAUUAAAAAUGUGAAAAGUUAUCAUUGGUCAUCCGAUGAAUUCCAAUAAACGAAGUUUUAUUACAUACCGUUGCAGAAAAAUAUGAACAGAAAUAUCAAUAUAUAGAAUUCCUUGUUAUUUAACAUCUAUGAAAUGUUUAUCAAAGUCAAAGGAAAACUGAUAUUGGACGUGUAACAUAAAUCGCACAGUGAUUAACCUAUCCCCUUCAAAUGUUUUUCAAAUUGAGGUCAAAAGUGGAUACACAUUUGGAUAGAAUAUAGCUGCAUAAAGCAUUUCCACAUUGCAAUCAGAGAUUCAUUAUGAAAAAUUGAUGCUGAAGGAAAAAAGUCGUGGCCGACAGCUGAAGAAAAAUGAUUCGUGCACAUGCCUCGGCUGGAUUAGACCCAAUACAUGUUUAGAAUGGCGCAGCGACCUCCAUCGCCUCGCAGGCAAAGAAAAUAAUCGUUGCUCCAGUUGGAUGUGCGCCAGCAAAUGUAGCUCCUUUUUAAGUUUGCCCUUCGAGCGUAGCCUUGACUUUCAGGCCGUAAAACGUGUGUAUAUCUCUAGCCGGUAUCUUGCACCUGCUUCCCAAGGUGUGCAUGCGAAGAAGCUUUUGAUCGUAAGAGAAAUUUGGCCCAGCUGUGAAAGGAGCUUAAUUUAUUUAUUGCUACGCUACGACGCGCUACAUGCAACGGAACCGAUGACUCCGGCACUGUGCGCAUCAUUUUGCAGCAGGCCUCCAAGUGUUUUCCCGGACCACACCUUCGCAAAGGGGGUUUUUCGACAACGAAUUAUACCGACGUCGCGUUUUCGCGGAAGGACCAUUGUGUACUUCUUUUUAUAAAUUUCACUAAUGAUGGCGUGGUAACCAAAAGCACGCCUGGAUGAGUCGUAAGAAUAUCCAAACGACUCCAGCGAGAGCCAAGUACGAACAAGCGGUGUACACCAUGCUUAUAAAAUCGACCGAGAUCUG
This is a long non-coding RNA of Bombus huntii, 1179 nucleotides long. RefSeq lists it as uncharacterized. Lineage: Eukaryota; Metazoa; Arthropoda; Insecta; Hymenoptera; Apidae. The record is from RefSeq and is a predicted model, not a curated record. The transcript has 5 exons.